GGGGAAUAUUGCACAAUGGGCGCAAGCCUGAUGCAGCAACGCCGCGUGAGGGACGACGGCCUUCGGGUUGUAAACCUCUUUUGGCAGGGAAGAAGCGAAAGUGACGGUACCUGCAGAAAAAGCACCGGCUAACUACGUGCCAGCAGCCGCGGUGAUACGUAGGGUGCAAGCGUUGUCCGGAAUUAUUGGGCGUAAAGAGCUCGUAGGCGGUUUGUCGCGUCUGCUGUGAAAACCCGAGGCUCAACCUCGGGCCUGCAGUGGGUACGGGCAAACUAGAGUGCGGUAGGGGAGAUUGGAAUUCCUGGUGUAGCGGUGGAAUGCGCAGAUAUCAGGAGGAACACCGAUGGCGAAGGCAGUCACUUGGUCCAUUACUGACGCUAAAGCACGAAAGCGUGGGUAGCAAACA
This 406-nucleotide ribosomal RNA is filed under the name uncultured bacterium. RNAcentral describes it as "bacterial SSU rRNA". It matches the Rfam family "Bacterial small subunit ribosomal RNA", at positions 356 to 774 of the family's 1533-position model. The record is from RNAcentral.